CCUACGGGAGGCAGCAGUGAGGAAUAUUGGUCAAUGGCCGCGAGACUGAACCAGCCAAGCCGCGUGCAGGAUGACGGUUCCAAGGGUUGUAAACUGCUUUUAUGCGGGGACAAAAUGAGUCUCGUGUGCCGUACUGUAGGUACUGGAUGAAUAAGGAUCGGCUAACUCCGUGCCAGCAGCCGCGGUAAUACGGAAGGUGCGGGCGUUAUCCGGAUUUAUUGGGUUUAAAGGGAUCGUAGGCCGCAUGUUAAGGGUGCCGUGAAAAGCCGGGGCUCAACCCUGGCACAGCGGUUGAAACUGGCUGGCUUGAGAGGUCGAGAGGUAUGCGGAAUGCGCGGUGUAGCGGUGAAAUGCUUAGAUAUUGCGAAGAACUCCGAUGGCGAAGGCAGCAUACUGGAGGGGAACUGACGCUGAGGCACGAAGGCGUGGGUAUCGAACAGGAUUAGAUACCCUUGUAGUC
This 460-nucleotide ribosomal RNA is filed under the name uncultured bacterium. RNAcentral describes it as "partial 16S ribosomal RNA". It matches the Rfam family "Bacterial small subunit ribosomal RNA", at positions 338 to 795 of the family's 1533-position model. The record is from RNAcentral.